CAGCAUGUUUCCAAGGUUUAGGACUAGUAGUAGCCAUGGGAUCUCCAACUGAAUGCAAGAAUAACUUGGAGAGACUUUGACAGAACACUUCAGCAUAAUAUGUGUAGCUGUCACUCACCUCUCCUGUAUUU
Molecule: non-coding RNA, 131 nt
Organism: Erinaceus europaeus (western European hedgehog)
Lineage: Eukaryota; Metazoa; Chordata; Mammalia; Eulipotyphla; Erinaceidae
Source: Rfam